GAACGGGUGAGUAAUGCAUCGGAACGUACCCUGGAGUGGGGGAUAACUAUCCGAAAGGAUAGCUAAUACCGCAUAUUCUAUGAGUAGGAAAGCGGGGGAUCUUCGGACCUCGCGCUCUGGGAGCGGCCGAUGUCAGAUUAGCUAGUUGGUGGGGUAAAGGCCUACCAAGGCUACGAUCUGUGGCGGGUCUGAGAGGAUGAUCCGCCACACUGGGACUGAGACACGGCCCAGACUCCUACGGGAGGCAGCAGUGGGGAAUUUUGGACAAUGGGGGCAACCCUGAUCCAGCCAUGCCGCGUGAGUGAAGAAGGCCUUCGGGUUGUAAAGCUCUUUCGGCCGGGAAGAAAUCGCCAUCUCUAAUAUAGGUGGUGGAUGACGGUACCGGAAUAAGAAGCACCGGCUAACUACGUGCCAGCAGCCGCGGUAAUACGUAGGGUGCGAGCGUUAAUCGGAAUUACUGGGCGUAAAGCGUGCGCAGGCGGUUUUUUAAGAUAGGCGUGAAAUCCCCGGGCUUAACCUGGGAACUGCGCUUAUGACUGGAAGACUAGAGUACGGCAGAGGGGGGUGGAAUUCCACGUGUAGCAGUGAAAUGCGUAGAGAUGUGGAGGAACACCGAUGGCGAAGGCAGCCCCCUGGGCCGAUACUGACGCUCAUGCACGAAAGCGUGGGGAGCAGACAGGAUUAGAUACCCUGGUAGUCCACGCCCCAAACGAUGUCAACUAGUUGUUGGGUAGGUAAAACCAUUUAGUAACGUAGCUAACGCGUGAAGUUGACCGCCUGGGGAGUACGGCCGCAAGGUUAAAACUCAAAG
Molecule: ribosomal RNA, 811 nt
Filed under: uncultured bacterium
Lineage: Bacteria
Description: bacterial SSU rRNA
Rfam family: Bacterial small subunit ribosomal RNA
Source: RNAcentral